GGGAACCGUAAUUGGGUAUCUGAGCUCACAGUGACGUGGCCCUUACGAGACCUAGAGCUGACGCGUGGAUCCGUGUCUCCUCCUAGUUGCAGUCUGGUAGUCGUUUGUGGCUGUGCGCUGUCUCGCUAUUGCUUUGAAGGCAGGCGAACCUGUAGCCCAGGGAAGAAGGAGGAAGUCGUAGAAGCUGACCCCGAUCCGCGGCAGGUCUUUAGGUCGUUUGGUGCAGCAGAUUUCAAAGCUAAGAGAGGAAGACUGCUUCCGAUCCCUGCAGGAAGCAUAAGCAGGAAAAAAAUCUCAAAAUGGAAAAUAUCCCCCAGGAAACCAAAGGAGACGAGCAGGCUCUGGUGCAGAAUGAAAACGAAGCCCACCCUUUGGGAGGUGGUGAAGACCAGGAGCCUGGAGGAAAUAUUAGAGCGGGCUGGGCCCCACCUGCCCAUGAUGUUAGAGAGGAUAUGCCCAAUAGGCUUGUUAAUAACCUUGACAUGAUAGAUGGAGAUGCAGAUGAUAUGGAACGGUUCAUGGAGGAGAUGAGAGAGCUAAGGAGGAAAAUUAGGGAGCUUCAGUUGAGGUACAGUUUGCGUAUUCUUAUAGGUGAUCCCCCUCACCAUGACCAUCAUGAUGAGUUUUGCCUUAUGCCUUGAAUGCUGAGGUUAAUAAUAAUAAACCCCCUGCUUCCCAAAGUUGCAUUUUCUUGAUGUACCUUUUGCUGUGAACAUGUGGUAUUCUGUCAUUUUUCUGAUUGAAAAUUUCAUUUUGACUUUGGAAGUUUUUCUGUCAGCAGGGGAGUUUCAUCAACUUGCAUGGAAAGAUGUUUAUUACAUACUGUGAAGGAUAUAAACAAUAAAAUUGUUACAGAACCUGGUCUGGGUCCUGAUGGAAGAACCAAGUGGCACUCGGAAACUUUGGAGGAUCACAGGUUUAUUUAACACCUGCGGGCUCAGAGGAGAAUGAUCUCCAAAGGUCUGAGCCCCGAGCACAGACGAAGAGGAUAAUUUAUAUGCUUCUCUUUUCCAAUACUUGGUACUUCUGGCACGCACAGGAAGCAGGGCAGAAAGAAGAACCUGGAAGAGCCCGGGGGCAGGAGCUAGGACUCUUUUGCUGACUCAGUUGGCCAUCGUAGAACAUAGAUUUUUCCCUUAUCAAAAUGAAUAAAAAUUUCCUCUUGCCAAUUUAAAA
RNA transcript from Mustela lutreola (European mink), 1176 nucleotides. It is a transcript of the gene named brain expressed X-linked 5, with no coding region annotated. The record is from RefSeq and is a predicted model, not a curated record. The transcript has 4 exons. Lineage: Eukaryota; Metazoa; Chordata; Mammalia; Carnivora; Mustelidae.